RNAcentral lists this long non-coding RNA (310 nucleotides) under Capsicum annuum. RNAcentral's name for it is "long non-coding RNA (CANN_LNC001900)". The record is from RNAcentral. Lineage: Eukaryota; Viridiplantae; Streptophyta; Magnoliopsida; Solanales; Solanaceae.
GAUGCAAUAGGUUAGACAACAGUUACAACAGAUGUAUAAAUCUGUUUGAUAAUUUUCAGCAGAUGUUUCAUCUGUUGAAACAAAUAUUUGCUUGUUUGUUUUUAGGAACAGAUGAUGUACAUUCACCUUCUUCAGCUCAUGUUGCUCUUCUGUGGCCCUUGCACACUGAACAAUGGUGCAAGAUAAAGACAGAGGUGUUGUAAUCUUGCUUUUUUUGAUUAUUGAUGAUGCCUUAGAAGUGUCUUUCCUUCUCCUCUUAGCCACCUUGAUCUCUAGUGGAGUGUAUGGAUAUGAAAUCCUCUUUGAUGGA